GGGAGAAUAGUAAGCAUUGGACACAAAAUGGUUUAGGCAAAUAAUGAUGAACAAAAAUGGUCAGUCUGUGUUCCUGCUGACCCAGCACAGUGGGGACGCUGUGUAGGACAUGACCUUUGGGGGAAAGGACACAAGAACUCAGCGUGGGGGAUCCAGAAAAGAAGUCGCACGUAUUGAAGCCAGUAACGCCAAGCCAGUGAAUUCUCCUUGACGAGAAAGACCCACUUACUCUGCAGAAGAGAUAUAUGACAGCUGACAAUCCCUGGAGGAGAAUCUUUCUACUAAAUUGAACUGAUCCGAGAGGACAGGGAAGUCAGUGUGGGCGGCUCUAAGGAGCCUCCCUCUCUACAGCUGCGGCUCAGAGGAUUACGGCGCUUCAUCCACAAGGCAACAUUGCACAAGUAGCUUUUGAACAAAAGUCAUGGAUACUAUUAAUGAUAUGUUCCCACACACAUUUAGUGUCGUCUCAAAAUUCACGCUGUCAACUGUCUCUAGGAAUCAUUUCCAUCUGAGAACAGACCACACAAAGACACAGUGAAACUCAGUUUCUGCAGAAUUUGAUUUCAUUUGAGUUACUGGGGAACAAAGCAAUUAGACAAUGAAUAAUAGCUCAAGACAGGCUGAAGCUGAAGAUUUCUGCAAAAGAAUGAAGAGGAAACGUUUUGAUCCUGAGCAGAUGUUCUCCCUAGAUUGCUUCACCUGAGGUUGAUUGACUUUUGGAAACGAGAUUUGUUCCCAGUGCUUUGUGAGUCUCUUGUUGGAAGGACUGUCUUUAAAUUAAAGCAAUUAGAGUUACUUUAUAAGAUUUACCCAAAUAUAAGAGCUGAAGAGAAUAAUUCAAAUUGAUCAGAAGAAAAUACUCAAUUACUGACAAAUGUCAAUUACAUCAAUAGCCUAGGCUGCUCUUGAACUCCUGGGCUCAAACGAUCCUCCCCUGUCGGCCUCCCAAAGUGCUGGGAUUACAAGCUUGAACCACCAUGCCCAGCCUCAGAAAUUUUUUAAAUGACAGCUCAUACAGUUUUCUUUUAUAAAGGAGGAGAAAAUGUGUAAUUGUAAGCAGCUGAACUAAAAUAUCUCUGUGACAUUUUGCUGGUGACUCCAGCCCUGUGAGAUCUGAGUGGCUCAGGAAUCAAAUUCUCCCACAAACCUGAGGAAGCCUUUUAUUCUUAAUGCCAACAGGAUGCCCCAUGCCCAGAAUGUCAAAUCUGAACACCAAUGGAAUGCAUUUUAUAAACAAAUUGAAAAAGGACAAUCUUUAACAGAAUUGUUGUUCUCUAGGCAGAUUAGUUGUGCUUCAAAUACAAAAUGAAAUAUUAGAGAACAAAAUUAUUUUUAAACAGCUAAUACUAGUAGAAAAUAAAAGGCUGAAAAGU
Molecule: long non-coding RNA, 1373 nt
Filed under: Homo sapiens (human)
Lineage: Eukaryota; Metazoa; Chordata; Mammalia; Primates; Hominidae
Description: long intergenic non-protein coding RNA 2436
Source: RNAcentral